UUCGUGUCUUUUUCUUCGUGACAGACCGGGGUGAUGUCGGGAAAGGACAUUUUCCUAUUGUUAAAGGACCGGGGUGUUGGAUGGAAAGGACAUUUUCCUGUCAUUAAAGGAUAAAGGGUCCGUUUAGCCCUGACCAUUAUCCGUUUCGAAUUCACCAACGCAAAGACGCUUGCCCGCUCCAUCAAAACUCCGUAAGUUUUCCCUCAAUGUGUAGAUCAACCAUCCUGCAUGUAAAUCCUGAGUAUGCCCACAUCAUUAAUUAAUAAGAUGUGUAGAAAACUGUUUAGCCAUAGUUAAAGGCCUUUCAUAGAGGCUGUCAUAAUUGCCUGUGCCACAUGUUUAACACGUAUUGCUUGUUACCGAAUACUACUGUUGUACAUUUAAUAUCCACUAGCAGAUUUCGUCGCAUUUGAACAAAUUCUGUCAUGUUACUGUGGUCUUUUUAAAUGUCUAUAAAUAUGUGUGUAAAGUGUACAUGUUUGUUUCACUGUAGAUUUGUUUAAGCCCUCCUAGAAAAACCUAAUUUCAUCAUCCGACAGCAUUAAUUAAUAAGCUGUGUAGAAGCUGUUUAGCCAUAAGUAAAGGCCUUUCAUAAAAAUGCUGUCAUGAUAAACCUGAAUCCGUAAGUUUUCCCUUCAUGUGUAGAUCAACCGUCCUGCAUGUAAAUCCUGGGUAUGCCCACAUCGUUAAUUAAUAAGAUGUGUAGACAACUGUUUAGCCGUAAGUAAAGGCCUUUCAUAAAGAGGCUGUCAUGAUUGCAUGUGCCACAUGUUUAACACGUAUUGCUUGUUACAGAAUACUACUGUUGUACAUUUAAUAUCCACUAGCAGAUUUCAUUGCAUUUGCACAAAUUCUAUCAAAUUCUGGUCUUUUUAAAAGUCAAUAAAUAUGUGU
Molecule: long non-coding RNA, 894 nt
Organism: Oncorhynchus masou masou (cherry salmon)
Lineage: Eukaryota; Metazoa; Chordata; Actinopteri; Salmoniformes; Salmonidae
Exons: 3
Source: RefSeq, a predicted model, not a curated record